Molecule: unclassified non-coding RNA, 468 nt
Filed under: Hevea brasiliensis (rubber tree)
Lineage: Eukaryota; Viridiplantae; Streptophyta; Magnoliopsida; Malpighiales; Euphorbiaceae
Source: RNAcentral
UAGCAAUCUAAGUGGGUCUAGUCGUUGUGGCAAUAGGCCUCAUAUGGCUAAGGACUUGAGGUGGGAAGCCAUUCGUCAUUUUCAGAGGCAGCAUGGAAGCUUAGGUUUGAAGCACUUCAAGCUAAUCAAGAAGCUUGGCUGUGGGGAUAUUGGGUCUGUAUUGGGUCUGUUUAUCUUGCUGAGCUUACUGGUACAAAUUGUCUGUUUGCUUUGAAAGUGAUGGACAAUGAAUUUUUGGCAAGCAGGAAGAAGAUGUCUAGGGCUGAAACUGAAAGAGAGAUUUUGCAGAUUCUGGAUCAUCCUUUUCUCCCUACAUUGUUUGCCCAUUUUGUGUCCGAUAGAUUCUCAUGCUUGGUUAUGGAGUAUUGUCCAGGUGGAGAUCUACAUGUGCUAAGGCAGAAGCAACCUAGCAGAAGUUUCUCUGAACAAGCAGCAAGGUUUUAUGUUGCUGAAGUCCUUCUUGCUCUA